GACCCAGUGUGGUGUAGUGGUUUGACCACUGGACAGUGAUUCUAGAGUCCAAGGUUCAAGUCCCUGCUUGGCCA
Phrynosoma platyrhinos (Desert horned lizard) is the source of this 74-nucleotide non-coding RNA. The record is from the annotation of a GenBank genome assembly. NCBI's taxonomy places the organism in Eukaryota, Metazoa, Chordata, Lepidosauria, Squamata, Phrynosomatidae.